This is a long non-coding RNA of Ictalurus punctatus (channel catfish), 1128 nucleotides long. Lineage: Eukaryota; Metazoa; Chordata; Actinopteri; Siluriformes; Ictaluridae. The record is from Ensembl.
CUCCAUCAGUCUGGGCUUUAAUCAGCUCUCCAACGCGACAGAUGGUUUAUAACUUCAUUUAUUCAUCUUAAGUGCUUUAGCGGAAGCUUCAUGGAGAGCCUUCGAGGAAGAGAAAACACGGCCUAAUAAAGGCGUCCAGGGGAUUGAUGUUUCAAAUAUAAACUUACACUAGUGUUGUAUACGCUAAUAUAAAAACUAAUAUUUGAUAUAUUUGUUAAAUCUUACCGUGGUUGUAGCUGUGUUGGCUAACUAACGUUACUCAUAAAGCUGGCCUGAGCCACAUGAGGAGACAGGAAAGUUACUCUAACUAUGGGCUAGUAACUAGUUAGUCUAUUACUGACUGUUUAGUGAUGGUUUACAUCGAUUCAGCGGGGAUUAUCCCACCAAAAUAUCUCUAGUUAUCUCCAAACAACCACCACGUCGCUGCAUAAUAACAGACAGAGGUCUGACUAGUUAGCUAGCCACCGUUACUUACAAUAAGAAGCUCAUUUCCGUUAACUUUGCUUCGAGCGAAGCUUCCAGACAGCGUGAAGUCGAGGAUUCCCAACAGAAAUUCUUCACCCAAGUCUUGUUUAAGGAUCAAACCGAUGUAAACAACGUAGUCCCAAAGUUUCAAAACUUUAAUCUAAGCGAACAUGAAACCGCGCUGGAACAGGAAGUGUUUACAACCGCCGCAGAGAAAAAGGAAACAGCAAAGACGACAGAGUCCGAUGUUGUUGCCAAAAUCGCACAGUAUGAGCUGCUAGUGCGAGUGCAGUUAGAGCUGUUAGUGGCGAUGCAGUUAGAGCUGCUAGUGCGAUUAGAGCUGCGAGUGCAGUUAGAGCUGUUCGUGCGAUUAGAGCUGUGAGUGCGAGUGCAGUUAGACCUGUGUGAGUGCAGUUAGAGCUGCUAGUGCGAGUGCAGUUAGAGCUGUGUGAGUGCAGUUAGAGCUGCUAGUGCUAGUGCAGUUAGAGCUGUGUGAGUGCAGUUAGAGCUGUUAGUGCGAGUGCAGUUAGAGCUGCAAGUGCAGUUAGAGCUGCUAGUGUGAGUGCAGGUAGAGCUAUUAGUGCGAGUGCAGUUAGAGCUGCUAGUGUGAGUGCAGGUAGAGCUAUUAGUGCGAGUGCAGUUAGAGCUGUUAGUGUGAGUGCA